This 135-nucleotide small nucleolar RNA is filed under the name Piliocolobus tephrosceles (Ugandan red Colobus). RNAcentral describes it as "Small nucleolar RNA U109 (ENSPTEG00000000328.1)". It matches the Rfam family "Small nucleolar RNA U109". The record is from Rfam by way of RNAcentral. Lineage: Eukaryota; Metazoa; Chordata; Mammalia; Primates; Cercopithecidae.
UUGCAUGUGGAAAUGUCUGCUUCUCAUUCCUUUGGGGGCAGGAAUAUAUUCAUAACAUGCUACAUUAACAAAGGAGUUCUCAGGGCUGCCAACCUUCUAGUAAAGGUUGAGUGGUAGUAUAGUUCUCCUACAUAA